AUGCUUAACACAUGCAAGUCGAACGGACUCUUUCGGGGGUUAGUGGCGGACGGGUGAGUAACGCGUGAGAAUCUGGCUUCAGGUUCGGGACAACAGAUGGAAACGUCUGCUAAUACCGGAUGUGCCGUGAGGUGAAAGGUUAACUGCCUGAAGAUGAGCUCGCGUCUGAUUAGCUAGUUGGUGGUGUAAGGGACUACCAAGGCGACGAUCAGUAGCUGGUCUGAGAGGAUGAUCAGCCACACUGGAACUGAGACACGGUCCAGACUCCUACGGGAGGCAGCAGUGGGGAAUUUUCCGCAAUGGGCGCAAGCCUGACGGAGCAAGACCGCGUGAGGGAUGAAGGUCUGUGGAUUGUAAACCUCUUUUGACAGGGAAGAAGAACUGACGGUACCUGUCGAAUCAGCCUCGGCUAACUCCGUGCCAGCAGCCGCGGUAAUACGGAGGAGGCAAGCGUUAUCCCGGAAUUAUUUGGGCGUAAAGCGUCCGUAGGUGGCGAUAUAAGUCAGUUGUUACAGCAUGGAGCUUACUCCAUCAAGGCGAUUGAAACUAUGUUGCUAGAGUGCGAUAGGGGCAAGGGGAAUCCCAGUGUAGCGGUGAAAUGCGUAGAUAUUGGGAAGAACACCGGUGGCGAAAGCGCCUUGCUGGGUCUGCACUGACACUGAGGGACGAAAGCUACGGGAGCGAAAGGGAUUAGAUACCCCUGUAGUCCUAGCCGUAAACGAUGGAUACUAGGCGUUGUCCGUAUCGACCCGGGCAGUGCCGUAGCUAACGCGUCAAGUAUCCCGCCUGGGGAGUACGCUCGCAAGAGUGAAACUCAA
Molecule: ribosomal RNA, 818 nt
Filed under: uncultured cyanobacterium
Lineage: Bacteria; Bacillati; Cyanobacteriota
Description: bacterial SSU rRNA
Rfam family: Bacterial small subunit ribosomal RNA
Source: RNAcentral